This 222-nucleotide microRNA precursor is filed under the name Asparagus officinalis (garden asparagus). RNAcentral's name for it is "miR396a stem-loop (aof-MIR396a)". Its record names the gene aof-MIR396a. The record is from miRBase by way of RNAcentral. Lineage: Eukaryota; Viridiplantae; Streptophyta; Magnoliopsida; Asparagales; Asparagaceae.
GGAAGUCAAGAUUAUGGAUAUGUUCUUCCACGGCUUUCUUGAACUGUGUACUCAAUUCUUAUUUCUUUUCAUUUUUCUCUUUUUGAAUAGUUUGGAAAAAGAAAAAAAAAUAGGAUAAAAAAAAGGAUGACGGAAAAAAGAAAAGAAUAAUUUGGGAAAAGAUGGAGAAGGUCAUAGUUCAAGAAAGACGUGGGAAAACAUGGCAUGUCUUUUUGUCUCGUC